Molecule: long non-coding RNA, 677 nt
Organism: Ictalurus punctatus (channel catfish)
Lineage: Eukaryota; Metazoa; Chordata; Actinopteri; Siluriformes; Ictaluridae
Source: Ensembl
UGGAACUGGGUCCAAAGAGUCAGCACCGGUUCAGCGGGACAUCCUGCACUCCUCUCCCAGUUCAGAGGGGUUCUCAGCGGAAGAAACACCUCGAGAGGAGAGUCCAGUUCAAAAUACAAAGUUCCCACAUAUACCACGACCAUCUAUCAUCAGAUCACCACAGGAACAGGCGUGUCCUCUCCAGGAAGUGCAUGCAGACUGCAAAGAUUAUAUAGAGACAGAGGAUGGACCGUUAUCAGGUACAGAAGAAACGCACACAUACACACACACAAGGACACAUAUAUAUACACGGACACACACAUUCUCAUUAGCUGGAGAAAAUUCCAUGGCCAGAGGCUGGACAGUUAUCAAGAAAGAAAAAAAACAUAGAUUUCCUCUCUUCCUUUUCCUACACACACACACACACACACACACUCUAAGGAGAAAAAGAGCAGUAGUUGUGUAGUGUCAGUGGAAAAUAUAAGCUCAUGCUGUCAGAAAGUGGGUUAUCUCGAGGAUAAUAGUGGAUUUAGUAUAUCUUAUUGUCAUUCAUGUGCUACAGUUGUCCAGUCCUGAUAAACAAGAGGAAACUUUCGGAUUAUAGGAUUUUAGGAACACGGUGUACUAAUCACCAUCUCUCUGGCUGUCUCUUUUGUAAUCUUUCUAGCCCCGGAUGGACCUGCAGGGCUAGAUUUAUU